RNAcentral lists this ribosomal RNA (416 nucleotides) under uncultured bacterium. RNAcentral describes it as "bacterial SSU rRNA". It matches the Rfam family "Bacterial small subunit ribosomal RNA", at positions 355 to 787 of the family's 1533-position model. The record is from RNAcentral.
UCGGGAAUAUUGCGCAAUGGAGGAAACUCUGACGCAGUGACGCCGCGUGCAGGAAGAAGGUUUUCGGAUUGUAAACUGCUUUAGACAGGGAAGAAAAAAGACAGUACCUGUAGAAUAAGCUCCGGCUAACUACGUGCCAGCAGCCGCGGUAAUACGUAGGGAGCGAGCGUUAUCCGGAUUUAUUGGGUGUAAAGGGUGCGUAGACGGGAAAUUAAGUUAGUUGUGAAAUCCCUCGGCUCAACCGAGGAACUGCAACUAAAACUGAUAUUCUUGAGUACUGGAGAGGAAAGUGGAAUUCCUAGUGUAGCGGUGAAAUGCGUAGAUAUUAGGAGGAACACCAGUGGCGAAGGCGACUUUCUGGACAGAAACUGACGUUGAGGCACGAAAGUGUGGGGAGCAAACAGGAUUAGAUACCC